AACGAACGCUGGCGGCAUGCCUAACACAUGCAAGUCGAACGAGACCUUCGGGUCUAGUGGCGCACGGGUGCGUAACGCGGGGGAACCUGCCCGUAGGUUCGGAAUAACUCCCCGAAAGGGGUGCUAAUACCGGAUAAUGUCUUCGGACCAAAGAUUUAUCGCCGUUGGAUGGGCCCGCGUUGGAUUAGCUGGUUGGUAGGGUAAAAGCCUACCAAGGCGACGAUCCAUAGCUGGUCUGAGAGGAUGAUCAGCCACACUGGGACUGAGACCCGGCCCAGACUCCUACGGGAGGGAGCAGUGGGGAAUAUUGGACACGGGGCGAAAGCCUGAUCCAGCAAUGCCGCGUAAGUGAUGCAGGCCUUAGGGUUGUAAAUCUCUUUUACCCGGGAUGAUAAUGACAGUACCGGGAGAAUAAGCUCCGGCUAACUCCGUG
This 433-nucleotide ribosomal RNA is filed under the name uncultured bacterium. RNAcentral describes it as "partial 16S ribosomal RNA". It matches the Rfam family "Bacterial small subunit ribosomal RNA", at positions 29 to 507 of the family's 1533-position model. The record is from RNAcentral.